RNAcentral lists this ribosomal RNA (126 nucleotides) under Acinetobacter baumannii ABNIH23. RNAcentral's name for it is "partial 16S ribosomal RNA". It matches the Rfam family "Bacterial small subunit ribosomal RNA", at positions 1 to 127 of the family's 1533-position model. Lineage: Bacteria; Pseudomonadati; Pseudomonadota; Gammaproteobacteria; Moraxellales; Moraxellaceae. The record is from RNAcentral.
AACUGAAGAGUUUGAUCAUGGCUCAGAUUGAACGCUGGCGGCAGGCUUAACACAUGCAAGUCGAGCGGGGGAAGGUAGCUUGCUACUGGACCUAGCGGCGGACGGGUGAGUAAUGCUUAGGAAUCU